CCGUCACGCAGAACCUGCGCUCGGAGCGAGCCGCCGUGCUUUUUCAGCUCCGUGUUUCUGACAUUCUGCAUGUGCGCAGGAGAUAAUGCGUGUGAAAUGUGCAUGCCUCAGAUGAAAAGACUUUAUCCGCCUUUCAAAGUGUUCAACUCUUAAUAUCUGUGCGUCGCCGCUGCUAUUAACAAACCGAGGGGAAACGCAACACAAAUUAUCCAGCUGCAAAUUUCCCAACAUGUUAUGCAAGACGGGGGCGAAGGAGUUGAGAAACCAGAGGGAAGGAGGGAGGAGGGGACGCUUUCCGAGAGCAACGACUGCAGAAAGUGGCUGAGCUCGGUCUGGAUUUGAAACUGUGGAAGUCCCCACCCCCUCUAAUCAACCAGAACUGGGCAUGAGGGACAACUUGGCGAGGCCGUCCGCUGACCCCUGGAGACCCGCAGCAGGCUGCUGGUGAGGAGUGAAGCCCAGUGAGCAGCUGCUCAGGCCAGAACCACCAGAACCCGGGCGGCGCUCCGGCCAGCUCAACGCCCAGAGGAAGAGCCAUCGUUUACCAGCCGUCUGCUUUCUGAGUGCCAACACGUGUCCAAAAUAAGCAUCAGUCCGGUUGCGUCACAUGCGAGCCUGCAUGCGGCGCUCACGGGUUGUUGCCUUUCUCAAACAUGUAGAAAGUCACAGUUUCAGGGCUUUCAGCGCCGGAGCUAAAGUAUUAUUAACAGAUGUCUUCCUUCUGCUGUCUUUAGCUUUUAAUACUGAAGCAACUUAAACGUGAUGAGUUUAACUGCUCAGAUUUCUGUAACUAUUAACUGUUGAACUUUUGAAGCAAUAAAACCAGAUGACGUUUUUAAAAACGCGUGAAGAAAGCCUUCAUCCGUGAUCGUCGUCUCCUCUUACAGUCUGCUGAGCUCCAUUUACCAGGAUGAAAAGGCAGAUAAGCAGAUUACAACCACAUGGCGUCGCUUGCACCGCGCAUACAGAGCAAACGUGCCGACCGAUCGCCAGACGUCGCAGGAAACUUCAGCGUUAAUGGGGCUGUUUAUAAAACGCCACAGCAGCAGCGGGCCAUCGCUGUGCAAACACAUAAUUCACCGUGUGAGAUCUGCACCGCAGAUGACACUGAUGUCUGAGCAGAUUUAGAAGAAAACUGAGCAAUUACGCUGGCAUCUUUUAGACUGUCAAACUAAAGGCCCGGGGGCCAAAUCUGGCACACCACAGCUUUUUAUGUGGCCCUUUGGACUCCAGUGGGUCACAUAAAUAGACCUUCAAGAUAACAGUUGUGUGUUUUCAUGUUAUUUUAUCAAUCAAAUCAAAGGAGUUUUUAUCUGUAUACUGCAAAAUUACAUCAAUCAGUCCUUGUAGUUUUUCACACAAAUGCAUAAUUGUCAGUUCAAUGCUAAUUUUCUGCAAAAAGGAUCAAAAUCAUUAAGUGUUGCAUGUAAAUUUGUGUGUAAUUUAAUCUCACUGUAAAUGCAGCUUUUAUUUUCCGAAGGCCUCACUGGGUUUUUAGUCAGUUAGCAAAAUUCACACAAAAUCAGCAGAUUUUAUGCAAAACUGUGAGUUAAAUGAUUAAAAACAUUGGGUUUUGGGUGUUUUCACACCUCAUACUCCAGUUGACUUUGUUCAAUUCAGACCAAAAUGGCAACAAAUCAAAAUAAUUGAAAAUACUGUUCCACUCCCCGCCUGUGGGGGCGCUGCACCAAAAACCACUGACACAAAAGCCUCUGAAGAAGACACUAACACUUCCUUCUUCCUGAAAUGUAAACGAAAAUAAAGCGUGAUCAGAUUUUA
Long non-coding RNA from Xiphophorus couchianus (Monterrey platyfish), 1779 nucleotides. RefSeq lists it as uncharacterized. Lineage: Eukaryota; Metazoa; Chordata; Actinopteri; Cyprinodontiformes; Poeciliidae. The record is from RefSeq and is a predicted model, not a curated record. The transcript is spliced from 2 exons.